RNAcentral lists this ribosomal RNA (482 nucleotides) under uncultured bacterium. Its description in RNAcentral is "partial 16S ribosomal RNA". It matches the Rfam family "Bacterial small subunit ribosomal RNA", at positions 30 to 507 of the family's 1533-position model. The record is from RNAcentral.
AUUGAACGCUGGCGGCAUGCUUUACACAUGCAAGUCGAACGGUAACAGGCCGCAAGGUGCUGACGAGUGGCGGACGGGUGGGUAAGGCAUCGGAACGUGCCCAGUCGUGGGGGAUAACUACUCGAAAGAGUAGCUAAUACCGCAUACGAUCUAUGGAUGAAAGCGGGGGACCGUAAGGCCUCGCGCGAUUGGUGCGGCCGAUGUCAGAUUAGGUAGUUGGUGGGGUAAAGGCUCACCAAGCCAACGAUCUGUAGCUGGUCUGAGAGGACGACCAGCCACACUGGGACUGAGACACGGCCCAGACUCCUACGGGAGGCAGCAGUGGGGAAUUUUGGACAAUGGGCGAAAGCCUGAUCCAGCAAUGCCGCGUGCAGGAAGAAGGCCUUCGGGUUGUAAACUGCUUUUGUACGGAACGAAACGGCUCUGGUUAAUACCCGGGGCUAAUGACGGUACCGUAAGAAUAAGCACCGGCUAACUACGUG